UGGAGAGAUGGCUGAGUGGUUGAUAGCUCCGGUCUUGAAAACCGGUAUAGUUCUAGGAACUAUCGAGGGUUCGAAUCCCUCUCUCUCC
Molecule: transfer RNA, 88 nt
Filed under: Triticum spelta
Lineage: Eukaryota; Viridiplantae; Streptophyta; Magnoliopsida; Poales; Poaceae
Also listed under: 1 other name
Description: tRNA-Ser
Rfam family: tRNA
About the family: Transfer RNA (tRNA) molecules are approximately 80 nucleotides in length. Their secondary structure includes four short double-helical elements and three loops (D, anti-codon, and T loops).
Source: RNAcentral